ACGCUGGCGGCAGGCCUAACACAUGCAAGUCGAGCGGUAGAGAGAAGCUUGCUUCUCUUGAGAGCGGCGGACGGGUGAGUAAUGCCUAGGAAUCUGCCUGGUAGUGGGGGAUAACGUUCGGAAACGGACGCUAAUACCGCAUACGUCCUACGGGAGAAAGCAGGGGACCUUCGGGCCUUGCGCUAUCAGAUGAGCCUAGGUCGGAUUAGCUAGUUGGUGAGGUAAUGGCUCACCAAGGCGACGAUCCGUAACUGGUCUGAGAGGAUGAUCAGUCACACUGGAACUGAGACACGGUCCAGACUCCUACGGGAGGCAGCAGUGGGGAAUAUUGGACAAUGGGCGAAAGCCUGAUCCAGCCCAUGCCGCGUGUGUGAAGAAGGUCUUCGGAUUGUAAAGCACUUUAAGUUGGGAGGAAGGGCAGUUACCUAAUACGUGAUUGUUUUGACGUUACCGACAGAAUAAGCACCGGCUAACUCUGUGCCAGCAGCCGCGGUAAUACAGAGGGUGCAAGCGUUAAUCGGAAUUACUGGGCGUAAAGCGCGCGUAGGUGGUUAGUUAAGUUGGAUGUGAAAUCCCCGGGCUCAACCUGGGAACUGCAUUCAAAACUGACUGACUAGAGUAUGGUAGAGGGUGGUGGAAUUUCCUGUGUAGCGGUGAAAUGCGUAGAUAUAGGAAGGAACACCAGUGGCGAAGGCGACCACCUGGACUGAUACUGACACUGAGGUGCGAAAGCGAGGGGAGCAAAC
RNAcentral lists this ribosomal RNA (746 nucleotides) under uncultured bacterium. RNAcentral's name for it is "bacterial SSU rRNA". It matches the Rfam family "Bacterial small subunit ribosomal RNA", at positions 33 to 773 of the family's 1533-position model. The record is from RNAcentral.